GCUAGGUAGCUCAGUUGGUAGAGCAACGGACUGAAAAUCCGUGUGUCGCCGGUUCGAUCCCGGCCUUGGCC
This 71-nucleotide transfer RNA is filed under the name bovine gut metagenome. It matches the Rfam family "tRNA". Rfam says of the family: Transfer RNA (tRNA) molecules are approximately 80 nucleotides in length. The record is from RNAcentral.